GAUGAACGCUGACAGAAUGCUUAACACAUGCAAGUCUUUGGCGAAGCUGUGCUUGCACAGCCUAGCCAAGGCGGACGGGUGAGUAACGCGUAAGGAACUUGCCCUGCAGUCAGGGAUAACAGACGGAAACGACUGAUAAGACCUGGUAAAGUCAGGCGGACUCAUGUCCAGCCUGAUGAAAAGAGAUGCUGCUGGAGAGCCUUGCGUCCUAUUAGCUUGUUGGUGGGGUAACGGCCCACCAAGGCGAUGAUAGGUAGCCGGCCUGAGAGGGUGGACGGCCACAAGGGGACUGAGAGACGGCCCUUACUCCUACGGGAGGCAGCAGUGGGGAAUAUUGGACAAAGGGGGCAACCCUGAUCCAGCAAUUCUGUGUGCACGAUGAAGGUUUUCGGAUUGUAAAGUGCUUUCAGCAGGGAAGAAAAAAAUGACGGUACCUGCAGAAGAAGCGACGGCUAAAUACGUG
RNAcentral lists this ribosomal RNA (463 nucleotides) under uncultured bacterium. Its description in RNAcentral is "partial 16S ribosomal RNA". It matches the Rfam family "Bacterial small subunit ribosomal RNA", at positions 28 to 507 of the family's 1533-position model. The record is from RNAcentral.